GUAACAAGGUUUCCGUAGGUGAACCUGCGGAAGGAUCAUUAUCGAACGAAGAAGGGGGAAAGACUGUGCUGGCGAAAGCAUCGUGCACGUCCGACCUUUUUCUAUUACAACACACCUGUGCACCUUUUGUAGGCCCUCGAAAGAGGAUCUAUGUAUUUUCAUCAUCACACCUAUCGUAUGUCUAGAACGUAAGAUCGUCGACCACUGGGCGGCGGUCGAAAACAAAUAUACAACUUUCAGCAACGGAUCUCUUGGCUCUCGCAUCGAUGAAGAACGCAGCGAAUUGCGAUAAGUAAUGUGAAUUGCAGAUUUUCAGUGAAUCAUCGAAUCUUUGAACGCACCUUGCGCUCCUUGGUAUUCCGAGGAGCAUGCCUGUUUGAGUGUCAUUGAAUUCUCAACCAUGUCUUGAUUGACAUGGCUUGGAGUUGGGGGUUGCUGGUAGCGAAAGCUCGUCAGCUCUCCUGAAAUGCAUUAGCGGGUGGACAAGCAAAGCCUUCCGACGUGAUAACGAUCGUCGUGGGGCCACGCAUCGACGUCUAUCUGCUUCCGAAUCCCCAGAUGCCUUAGCUACUAGUCGAAAGACGAACGCAAGGGAUCGUUCGAACGCUGACCUCAA
RNAcentral lists this ribosomal RNA (616 nucleotides) under Xerocomus sp. YM2760. RNAcentral describes it as "eukaryotic LSU rRNA". The stretch from base 232 to 386 matches the Rfam family "5.8S ribosomal RNA". Lineage: Eukaryota; Fungi; Basidiomycota; Agaricomycetes; Boletales; Boletaceae. The record is from RNAcentral.